This 209-nucleotide long non-coding RNA is filed under the name Mytilus galloprovincialis (Mediterranean mussel). The record is from RNAcentral. Lineage: Eukaryota; Metazoa; Mollusca; Bivalvia; Mytilida; Mytilidae.
AUAAAGUAAAGUCUGUGUAUGUGUAGGAAAAGUAUGUGUAUAUAUAUAAACAUAUUUUCGCAUGAGGCAGCCACUGUUUGCCAUACAUUAGCCUUCUAAGCAAAAUGAGCGCAUGUCAAUAGGAACACGUGUAAUUUGUGCGCACAAGUUGUAUAACUCGUGUGCACAAGUUCUGUAAUUCGUGCGCACAAGAUAGUAAAAAAGUAAAA